ACGCGCGCUCCGGGGUCGGUGAAACUCCGAGCCGGCGGUGAUAGUCCGCGACCCGUCCGCCCUUGUGGCGGCCGGUUGACCUGGUGGAAUUCCGGGACCGACGGUGAAAGUCCGGAUGGGAGGACGCGCGC
Non-coding RNA from Frankia sp., 131 nucleotides. NCBI's taxonomy places the organism in Bacteria, Bacillati, Actinomycetota, Actinomycetes, Frankiales, Frankiaceae. The record is from Rfam.